UACGGAGGGUGCAAGCGUUAUCCGGAUUCACUGGGUUUAAAGGGAGCGUAGGCGGAUAGGUAAGUCAGUGGUGAAAUCCUGCAGCUUAACUGCAGAACUGCCGUUGAUACUAUCUAUCUUGAAUGUCGUUGAGGUUUGCGGAAUAGGUCAUGUAGCGGUGAAAUGCAUAGAUAUGACCUGGAACACCUAUUGCGAAGGCAGCAGGCUAAACGAAUAUUGACGCUGAGGCUCGAAAGCGUGGGGAUCAAACAGG
RNAcentral lists this ribosomal RNA (253 nucleotides) under uncultured bacterium. Its description in RNAcentral is "partial 16S ribosomal RNA". It matches the Rfam family "Bacterial small subunit ribosomal RNA", at positions 524 to 776 of the family's 1533-position model. The record is from RNAcentral.